Long non-coding RNA from Musca domestica (house fly), 1054 nucleotides. RefSeq lists it as uncharacterized. The transcript has 4 exons. The record is from RefSeq and is a predicted model, not a curated record. Lineage: Eukaryota; Metazoa; Arthropoda; Insecta; Diptera; Muscidae.
GGAAAGUCCAUUUCCAAUAUCAAAUCGAAUCAUUUCAAUGCAAUUACAUAAAUAUACACAUCUACAUAAGUUAAACAUAUAAAAAUAAUUGACAACAAAACUGUCAGGCCAUCAACUAAACUCAUCGGGCGGAUGCGAUGCAAUGCAACGCAACAGCAACAGAAGCAACAGUCAGGCGGUUAGUCAGGCAGGCCAGCAUGGCUGGCUGUCAGUCAGUCAAUCCAACUUGCAUACACCUAACUGCAAUGACAUAUGGGAAAAGGGAGAGGAGACAUCUAGGCAUCUGCCUUUGGGGUAACACCUACGAUACGGCGGUCUUCUCAUCCACCUACUCGAGCAUAGUCGGAUACUUGGUGAUCUUUGACACUCCCAACAUCAAUCAAAAAAUCAAAUUGAAAAAAAAUAUGUGAAUAUAUUUUAAAAAUAAUAUAUUUCCAUUCAGUGAUGGAAUGCAAACAAAUUAUAAAAUUAAAAAACGAAACAAAAAUAAAAAACGCAGAAGAUUUCUAAUGAAAAUGUCGGAAAACGAUUUUCAAAAAAAAAAAAAAACAACAACCAACGAAAUAUUCAUUCAAGUUGUCAGUGUUACGGAUGAUUGACCAUCGUUGGAAUAUUUUUCAGUCGCCUGCAGGAAUUCGAAGUGAAAAUUGGAUGGGUGUAUAUUCAUAUGGUAUAGGAAGUGGACAGAUGAUAUGGAAUGAUUUGAAGGAAUGUCAUUUGAUUUUGAAUUAAUUCAAAUUCCAAAGGAAAAAAUCGUUGGAAGGAAAACAUUUAAUGACGUAUUGUUUAAAUUUAUUUCCAUUUUCAUAUUACCUCUGCGUCUGUGGUCUAUUUGUCACCGAAUUCGCUGGAUAAAAUUAGAAGGAUAAAAAUAUGCAUAACAAAUUUUGGGAUUCUCCACAAGUCUAAUAUUUGUUUCCAGAUUUGGACAAGUACAAUUCUCCAUGAUUAAGGCAAUAACUUUUUUGGACCAGGGACUUCGUCUAGGUUUUAUCAGCCAUGAUGAUUCGAUUUUUAUGGAAACGAGAUUUAAAUAGAUGUUAAAAUAAGCUUC